Molecule: non-coding RNA, 77 nt
Organism: Podarcis lilfordi (Lilford's wall lizard)
Lineage: Eukaryota; Metazoa; Chordata; Lepidosauria; Squamata; Lacertidae
Source: the annotation of a GenBank genome assembly
GGCAAAGGGCUGUAGCUCAGUGACAGAGCACCUGCUUUGCAUGCAAAAGGUCCUGAGUUCAAUCCCUGGUAUUGCUG